GGGGAAGGCAGACCCCGGUCUAGAGAGACUCUCCCCAGGUGGGUGCAGGAGGAAACAUCUAGAAUGUUCCAGCAGUACUGUCUCUUGGGAUGAACGGCUGCAACUACCUCGUCUGGCCCAGUCUCUCUCUUGCUGGCUCUGAUGAAGCAUGAGGCCGUGUUGAAGUGGCCCAUGGGGCAGGGAGCCGAGGGUGGCCUCUGACUGACAGCCAGCAAGAGACUGCAGCCCUCAGUCCUGUAACUGCCGGGAGCCGAAUUCUGCCGACAACCACGGGACCUCAAGCAGGUGCAUCCCCAGUAGGCACCACGCUCAUUGUGGAGCCCGACACGCGGCUUGACCCUCACGAACCGUGAGAUCAUGACCUGAGCUGAGAUCAAGAGUCGGAUGCUUAACUGACUGAGCCACGCAGGCGCCCCUCAAUUUUUAAAAUCAUAUGAAGAAAAGAGAGGAAAAUGCAGUGUGCAGAGGUGCUGAGUGCUGGAAAUGACAGAGGGACGCAUGUGGCCGGGGUAAAUGGAGACAUAUGCGGGACCGCAGGGAUCGACCUAUGUUCCAGAAUGAACCUGGAACCACAUUAUUAUGCAAAGUAACCAUUUUCACCCGAAUCACAGAAGCAAGUUUUCUGGAACUGAAAGGAAUUUUAAAGUCCAUCGGCAAUCUAUACUUAGAAUAGUCCAGAAAAUAUUAAAACACAACAACGAGGAAUUUAUAUUGGCAGAUACAACCAUUACUCUGACUGUACAAGGUACAUUAAAAUGGGAGCUGGAGGCGGCUACGUGCUAGAAGACCCAGAAAGAGCCCGGGUAAAUACAUAGCACUCCUGAUCUGUGCGGAAGGGCCACGCUGUGCUGCAGUAGGGGUUCCUUGUUAUUUAAAAAA
Molecule: long non-coding RNA, 879 nt
Organism: Herpailurus yagouaroundi (jaguarundi)
Lineage: Eukaryota; Metazoa; Chordata; Mammalia; Carnivora; Felidae
Exons: 2
Source: RefSeq, a predicted model, not a curated record